AGAGUUUGAUCAUGGCUCAGAACGUACGCUGGCGGCACGCCUAAUACAUGCAAGUCGAACGAAGUAGCAAUACUUAGUGGCGAACGGGUGAGUAUAAUGUGGGUAUCUGCCUUUUGGUGAGGAAUAACACGGGGAAACUUGUGCUAAUACCUCAUAAGCCUUCACAGGGAAAGUUUUAACGCCAAAAGAUGAGCCCGCACUUGAUUAGCUAGUUGGUAAGGUAAUGGCUUACCAAGGCUACGAUCAAUAGCUGAUCUGAGAGGAUGAUCAGCCACAUUGGGACUGAGACACGGCCCAAACUCCUACGGGAGGCAGCAGUAGGGAAUCUUGCACAAUGGGGGAAACCCUGAUGCAGCGAUGCCGCGUGAGUGAAGAAGGCCUUUGGGUUGUAAAGCUCUUUCGUCGGGGAAGAAAAUGACUGUACCCGAAUAAGAAGGUCCGGCUAACUUCGUGCCAGCAGCCGCGGUAAUACGAAGGGACCUAGCGUAGUUCGGAAUUACUGGGCUUAAAGAGCUCGUAGGUGGUUAGAGAAGUUGGUGGUGAAAUCCCAAGGCUUAACCUUGGAACUGCCAUCAAAACUUUUUGACUAGAGUGUGAUAGAGGAAAGUGGAAUUUCUAGUGUAGAGGUGAAAUUCGUAGAUAUUAGAAAGAACACCGAUUGCGAAGGCAGCUUUCUGGAUCAUUACUGACACUGAGGAGCGAAAGCAUGGGUAGC
This 715-nucleotide ribosomal RNA is filed under the name uncultured bacterium. RNAcentral's name for it is "bacterial SSU rRNA". It matches the Rfam family "Bacterial small subunit ribosomal RNA", at positions 8 to 769 of the family's 1533-position model. The record is from RNAcentral.